GGAAAAUGAAAGUGCACCCAUUAGAAUAAGGUUGUGGGAGCCUUGAGUGAGUGGAGUGUGACAUCAUGGAUGAUGUCAUGGUGGUGGACCAUUUUUGAGAUUAAAGAAAAGGAAAAAGAAAAGAAAAGAGCCCCCACUCCUUCUCUCUCCUCCCUCUCUUCUUCCUCUCUCCCGUUGGCUUCUCCUCCAUCUUCAUUGUGCGAAGACCAGAAAAUUGCAGAGAAGAAGGAGUUGCAGCCAUGGUCGUCCGCUCCCGCUCGCACGCCGCCGUCGCCGUGUGUCCGCCUCGCGCCGCCCGUGCGCUGCUCGCCGGUCCGCUCGCGUCCGCGCUCGCCCGCGCUUGGCCGGCAUCCCGAGCUGCUGUUCAGCUCGUGCGAGAGCUACCGGAGCUCGUCCCCGCCGCCGUGAACCGCCGUUCGUCGCCGCCGGAGCUUCGCCUUGCCUCCGCCGCCCUUGGCCGCCUCAACCGGCGCCGGAUCCGCCCAUUCUCGGCCUCAAACCGCCAUGGACAGCAACCAAGAAAAAUGGGUAUGCAGCGGACGUUUGGCCCGUUUUGGCCGCCUUCCCGAGCCCGGAUGCUCGGCCCGCUUUGAGGAAAGUUGUUCUCCUCGGCGUCCCCGUCGUUUUGGUCCGCUCGGUUCGCUAAUCCGGUGAGUUUAGCUCACUAAACCUCGCUUAGAGGGUUAAUUAUGCUUUAGGUGUGCUUAGCUUAAGUUGAUUAAGCUUAUGUGGUUAAUUUAGUUGAUUUAAUUAUGAUUUAGAUUAAGAUGUUUGUUUAAUCUAAAGUAUGUUUAAUUAAAUGCUAAGAGAGUUUAUUUAAAGUUAAGCCUUGAUGNNNNNNNNNNNNNNNNNNNNNNNNNNNNNNNNNNNNNNNNNNNNNNNNNNNNNNNNNNNNNNNNNNNNNNNNNNNNNNNNNNNNNNNNNNNNNNNNNNNNUUAAAAUAUUAUUAUUAUAAAAAAAAACAGAAAAAUUAUUUUUGACCCCGGUUGUUCAGAAUUUCGUGCCGGUCGCUACGGUACAUUCGGAUUCUGAAAUUGAUGAUUGGAUAUUAUAAAUUGAGUGUGGAUUUCGAAAACUAUGGAUAUUAUUAUUUAAUUAUUUUCGGAAUAAAUUUAAUUAUUUAUUAAAUUCCGAAAAUUUUCAUUGGGACCUUAUUUGCUCAGAAUUUCGUGCCGAUCGUUGCUAUGCUUGUAGAAUGUGAAAUUGAUGAUUGGUUGUGAUGAAUUGAGUGUGAUUGUGAUUUAUAGGGAUUCUUUAUGAAAUCCUAAGUGUAGAAACUGAUGGGAGAUUGGCUGUGAAAUAUUUCCUAUUAAAGGUCGUGCCCAGAGAGGCCGUGAUAAACCACCUUGGAAAGGUCGUGCCCGAUGAGGCCGUGAAAAACCACCUACAAGAGGUCGUGCCCGAUGAGGCCGUGAAAUACCACCUAUUAGAGGUCGUGCCCAGAGAGGCCGUGAUAAACCACCUGUGAAAGGUCGUGCCCAGAGAGGCCGUGAUAAACCACCUCUGACCAGAGAGGCCGUGAUAAACCACCUUGGAAAGGUCGUGCCCGAUGAGGCCGUGAAAAACCACCUACAAGAGGUCGUGCCCAGUGGGGCCGUGAAUUGCCACCUGUUAAAGGUCGCGCCGAGUGGGGCCGUGAUGCCACUGAUUUAAAUUUACCGAGUAGGGCCGUAGUUGAGAGCAAUGAUUGAUUUGCUAGAAUGACAUGUAAUCGGCCGAGUCGAUUGAUCGCUGAGACGAUCCAAGUGGUUGAAUGGUUUGAUGAUGUGAUUGUGCCAUGGUUGUUUGGUUAUCAUAAUUGUACGUGGUUGAAUUAUAUAAAUUGUGCUAACCUGCAGAUGAAGGCUGAGGCGAGGUAAGUCCUCUGUGUGAUGUGGCUAGGCCACCCGGGGCGUAUUUUCUUUCUAAUAGGGGUUUAGGGGGUUGAACUUGCUGAGACAUCGUCUCAUCCCGGUUGUGGGAUUAAAAUUUCAGGUCCCUGAUGGACAGAGUGGCCAGAUAGCUUUGGUUGGCCUUGAGGAGUUGCCGAGGUGAAGGCAUCAGAUUGGAGGUCGUGUCCGACUUGUAGGUCGUAGGACAAUUCCUUUUUUUAGAGCCGGUCUUUUGUAGACUUUUGGGCUGUAGGCCUUCGUUUGUAACUUCGUUGGUUUAUGUAAGUGAUUGGUUGUGAAAUUGUUUCCUGCUUUUCUAUCCCGUAUUCUAUUGUCAGGGGUUUUAUAAUACGCUUCCGCUUGUGCAUUAAAGAUUUGAUUGGGUCGGCGACUUAACCUGGGACGUCGCAUUUGAAUGACCAUGGUGGGAUGUUGACGCGCUCGAGGUUCGGGGCGUGACAUUGCCAAAGAUGUACCUUUCUAUAUUUGUAUAUUGAACAAGCAAAUGUGCAUUCUCCUCUUUUUUUGGACUCAAACAAGCAUGAAAAGUAUGCUUGCAUAUUCGUUCAUAGGUCAAAUCGGA
This 2454-nucleotide long non-coding RNA is filed under the name Eucalyptus grandis. RNAcentral's name for it is "long non-coding RNA (EGRA_LNC007721)". The record is from RNAcentral. Lineage: Eukaryota; Viridiplantae; Streptophyta; Magnoliopsida; Myrtales; Myrtaceae.